CCUACGGGAGGCUGCAGUAGGGAAUAUUGCUCAAUGGGGGAAACCCUGAAGCAGCAACGCAGCGUGGAGGAUGAAGGUUUUAGGAUUGUAAACUCCUUUUGAUAGGGAAGAUAAUGACGGUAUCUAACGAAUAAGCACCGGCUAACUCCGUGCCAGCAGCCGCGGUAAUACGGAGGGUGCAAGCGUUAUUCGGAAUCACUGGGCGUAAAGAGGGCGUAGGCGGGAUAGCAAGUCAGAUGUGAAAUCCUAUGGCUUAACCAUAGAACUGCAUUUGAAACUGUUAUUCUAGAGUAUGGGAGAGGUAGGUGGAAUUCUUGGUGUAGGGGUAAAAUCCGUAGAGAUCAAGAGGAAUACUCAUUGCGAAGGCGACCUGCUAGAACAUAACUGACGCUGAUGCGCGAAAGCGUGGGGAUCAAACAGGAUUAGAUACCCCAGUAGUC
RNAcentral lists this ribosomal RNA (440 nucleotides) under uncultured bacterium. RNAcentral's name for it is "partial 16S ribosomal RNA". It matches the Rfam family "Bacterial small subunit ribosomal RNA", at positions 338 to 795 of the family's 1533-position model. The record is from RNAcentral.